AGUAGAAGUACGAGGACGGCUUCCUUUCCGGGAAGCGAGCGUACACAGGUGCUGCAUGGCUGUCGUCAGCCCGUGUCGUGAGAUGUUGGGUUAAGUCCCGCAACGAGCGCAACCCCCUGCAUCCAGUUGCCAUCGGGCGAGCCGGGCACUCUGGAGGGACUGCCGGCGACAAGCCGGAGGAAGGUGGGGAUGACGUCAAGUCAUCAUGGCCCUUAUGUCCAGGGCGACACACGUGCUACAAUGGCCGGCACAGCGGGAAGCGGAGGGGCGACCCUGAGCGGAUCCCUUGAAAGCCGGUCCCAGUUCGGAUUGCAGUCUGCAACUCGACUGCAUGAAGUUGGAAUCGCUAGUAAUCGCGGAUCAGCCAAGCCGCGGUGAAUACGUUCCCGGGCCUU
This 395-nucleotide ribosomal RNA is filed under the name uncultured Thermovirga sp. RNAcentral's name for it is "bacterial SSU rRNA". It matches the Rfam family "Bacterial small subunit ribosomal RNA", at positions 999 to 1382 of the family's 1533-position model. The record is from RNAcentral. Lineage: Bacteria; Thermotogati; Synergistota; Synergistia; Synergistales; Thermovirgaceae.